RNAcentral lists this ribosomal RNA (493 nucleotides) under uncultured bacterium. RNAcentral describes it as "bacterial SSU rRNA". It matches the Rfam family "Bacterial small subunit ribosomal RNA", at positions 30 to 521 of the family's 1533-position model. The record is from RNAcentral.
AUUGAACGCUGGCGGAAUGCUUUACACAUGCAAGUCGAACGGUAGAGGGGGCAACCCCUUGAGAGUGGCGAACGGGUGAGUAAUAUAUCGGAACGUGCCCAGUCGUGGGGAUAACGUAGCGAAAGUUACGCUAAUACCGCAUACGAUCUAAGGAUGAAAGCGGGGGAUCGCAAGACCUCGCGCGAUUGGAGCGGCCGAUAUCAGAUUAGGUAGUUGGUGGGGUAAAGGCUCACCAAGCCAACGAUCUGUAGCUGGUCUGAGAGGACGACCAGCCACACUGGAACUGAGACACGGUCCAGACUCCUACGGGAGGCAGCAGUGGGGAAUUUUGGACAAUGGACGCAAGUCUGAUCCAGCCAUUCCGCGUGCAGGAUGAAGGCCCUCGGGUUGUAAACUGCUUUGUACGGAACGAAAAGGUUUCUCUUAAUACGAGGAGCUCAUGACGGUACCGUAAGAAUAAGCAACCGGCUAACUACGUGCCAGCAGCCGCGGU